RNAcentral lists this ribosomal RNA (322 nucleotides) under uncultured Crypthecodinium. RNAcentral describes it as "partial 18S ribosomal RNA". It matches the Rfam family "Eukaryotic small subunit ribosomal RNA", at positions 83 to 407 of the family's 1831-position model. Lineage: Eukaryota; Dinophyceae; Gonyaulacales; Crypthecodiniaceae. The record is from RNAcentral.
AAAMCUGUGAAAGGCUCCAUUAAAACAGCUGUAGUUUGUUUKAUSGUGAAWYCCUUACAUGGAWCCYGCGGAAAUUCUGGAGCUAAUACAUGUUUCCACACCUGACUUCUCGGAAGGGUGGUACUUAYYMGUUAUAGAACCAACCCAGGCUUGCCUGGUUGUUUGGUGAUUCAUGAUAAGCAAAUGAAYCSACAGCAUCGCUGSCGAUAAAUCAUUUAAGCUUCUGACCUAUCAGCUUUCGAUGGUAUGGUAUUGGCAUACCAUGGCGAUGACGGGUGACGGAGAAUUAGGGUUCGAUUCCGGAGAGGGAGCCUGAGAAAUG